GGAGAGAUGUCCGAGAGGCCGAAGGAGCACGCUUGGAAAGCGUGUGUACCCUAACCGGGUACCGAGGGUUCGAAUCCCUCUCUCUCCG
This 88-nucleotide transfer RNA is filed under the name Spirochaetota bacterium. Its description in RNAcentral is "Spirochaetes bacterium tRNA-Ser". It matches the Rfam family "tRNA". From Rfam's summary of the family: Transfer RNA (tRNA) molecules are approximately 80 nucleotides in length. Their secondary structure includes four short double-helical elements and three loops (D, anti-codon, and T loops). Further hydrogen bonds mediate the characteristic L-shaped molecular structure. tRNAs have two regions of fundamental functional importance: the anti-codon, which is responsible for specific mRNA codon recognition, and the 3' end, to which the tRNAs corresponding amino acid is attached (by aminoacyl-tRNA synthetases). tRNAs cope with the degeneracy of the genetic code in two manners: having more than one tRNA (with a specific anti-codon) for a particular amino acid; and 'wobble' base-pairing, i.e. permitting non-standard base-pairing at the 3rd anti-codon position. Lineage: Bacteria; Pseudomonadati; Spirochaetota. The record is from RNAcentral.